This 1586-nucleotide ribosomal RNA is filed under the name Cladonema multiramosum. RNAcentral describes it as "large subunit ribosomal RNA". It matches the Rfam family "Bacterial large subunit ribosomal RNA", at positions 243 to 2782 of the family's 2925-position model. Lineage: Eukaryota; Metazoa; Cnidaria; Hydrozoa; Anthoathecata; Cladonematidae. The record is from RNAcentral.
GUAGUGGCGAGCGAAAUUACUAUUCUAUAGAAUUAAAAGUCUUUGGAUUCACAACAAAUAAAUUGUUUACACCUUUAAAAAUAGUACCGUGAGGGAAAACUUAACACUAUAAGUUAUAACAAUGAAUUUCAUAUACCUUUUGUAUAAUGGAUUUACAAGAAAAAUUAAUAGCAAAUUUUUAGAUAGAAUAAAAAUGAUAAAGUUAUUAUUACCCGAAACCUAAUGAUCUAAUUAUGAUCUUAUUUUAUGAUAUAAUUAUUAAAUGUAGAAUCAUUUUUAAAAGAAUUAUAAUUAGCGGCGAAAAACUAAUCGAAUUAGGUUAUAGCUGGUUUUCUAUGAAAGUUAUUUAAGUAACUGUUAACUCAGACUUUAAAAUAAAAUUUUUAAAGUCUAAACGGAAAGAACCAUAAUCAGAAUUAAAGAUGAUAAAUCAUUAUAAUAAAAGUUACAAAUUGUUUUAACAUUUUAAAAAUAGGACUAGAAACAACCAUAUUCUCAUUAAAACGUAAUAGUUAAUAAAACAAAUAAAAUUGUAACAAAAUCAAUCUUAGACAAAUCGUUAUUCUGAAGAAGAGUAAUAGAAUAAUUUAUUUUCUAAAUAGAAAUAAAUAAAUGAAACAAUGUAAAUAUGAUUAACCCAAUUUUAUCUCCAGAGAAUCUUAUUUCAAUACAUGAAUAAGUUUAUACAAUAUCUAAAAAAUAAAAAUGAUAAAGUUAAAAUUUAACUCAAGAAAAUAAUUACCAAACUAUUGUAUUUAUCUAAAUCAAGAGGAGAGUAAAAAUAUAAUAAAUUCUAUUAAAGGAACUCGGCAAAAUUUAUAUCGACUGUUUACCAAAAACAUAGCCCUUGAAAAAAUAAAAGGUGUCACCUGCCCAAUGAUUAUAGAUUAUAAAAAUAAAAGUUUUGAAAUAUAGUUUAAAGGACGCGGUAUCCUGACCGUGGUAAUGUAGCAUAAUCACUCGCCAUUUAAUUGAUGGAUAGUAUGAAUGGUUAAACGAAUAUAACACUGUCUCUAAUAGAAGUUUUAUAAAAUUGGAAUAAUAGUAAAGAUACUAUUUACAACUGUAAGACGAAAAGACCCUAUAGAGCUUAACUAUAAUCUUUAAUAAAUUUGUUGAGUUCACUCAACAUUAUUUAAAGAAUGGUAGUUUAGUUGGGGCGACUGUCUUUUAUAGAUAACAAAGACAAGCAAAAAUUAAAUAAAUAAUUUACUGUAUAAAAAAUUAUUUUAACAGUUAUAAAAAUAGGCUUUAGUGACCCGUUUUUUUAAAGAAUAAUAAAAAACGAUCAAUAAAUAAAAGCUACCUUAGGGAUAACAGGAUAAUUUCAUUUUAGAGUUCCAAUCGAAAAUGAAGUUUGUCACCUCUAUGUUGAAUUAAGAUACCCCAGUAGUGCAGAAGCUACUAAAGGUAGGUCUGUUCGACCUUUAAAAUCUUACAUGAUUUGAGUUCAUUCCGUCGCAAGACAGGAAGGUUUCUAUCUACAGUUAAUAAGUUAAUAAAAAAUUUUUAGUACGAAAGGAACAAAAUUAUUGGAUACAAAUCUACCCAAACCUACAAUGCAUCUCCAACUCUCGAAUGAGUAU